AUACCUUUCUCGGCCUUUUGGCUAAGAUCAAGUUAGUAUAUGUUCUUAUCAAUUUAAUAUCUGAUAGGUGGACCAAUGGUCCACACAAUAUUAAAUUAAUUUCUUUAGGGGGAGGGUCCACAACAGUAGCUUGCUAUUGGGGCUCUCGUGCGUCGCCCAAGCGUUGCACUACUGCAUGGGCCUGGCGCGCCCCAC
This 195-nucleotide small nuclear RNA is filed under the name Prunus persica (peach). Its description in RNAcentral is "snRNA U2". It matches the Rfam family "U2 spliceosomal RNA". Rfam says of the family: U2 is a small nuclear RNA (snRNA) component of the spliceosome (involved in pre-mRNA splicing). Complementary binding between U2 snRNA (in an area lying towards the 5' end but 3' to hairpin I) and the branchpoint sequence (BPS) of the intron results the bulging out of an unpaired adenosine, on the BPS, which initiates a nucleophilic attack at the intronic 5' splice site, thus starting the first of two transesterification reactions that mediate splicing. Lineage: Eukaryota; Viridiplantae; Streptophyta; Magnoliopsida; Rosales; Rosaceae. The record is from Rfam by way of RNAcentral.